This 455-nucleotide unclassified non-coding RNA is filed under the name Hevea brasiliensis (rubber tree). The record is from RNAcentral. Lineage: Eukaryota; Viridiplantae; Streptophyta; Magnoliopsida; Malpighiales; Euphorbiaceae.
AGCUUGAUGUCAUUGAGUGGACACAAAAUAUAUGGUCCGAAAGGCGUUGGAGCUUUGUAUAUGCGCAGGCGACCAAGAAUCCGAGUGGAGCCCCAAAUGAAUGGAGGUGGACAAGAGAGAGGGAUACGAAGUGGGACGGUGCCCACUCCUUUAGUUGUCGGAAUGGGUGCUGCUUGUGAAUUGGCGAAGAAGGAGAUGGAGUAUGAUGAUAAGAGAAUUACAGCAUUGCAGGAGAGGUUGCUGAAUGGAAUUAAAGCUAAACUCGAUGGAGUGGUGGUGAAUGGGAGCUUAGAGAGGCGAUACGCAGGGAAUUUAAAUCUUUCCUUUGCGUAUGUAGAAGGGGAGAGCUUAUUGAUGGGGUUGAAGGAUGUGGCAGUGUCAAGUGGGAGUGCCUGUACUAGCGCGAGUUUGGAGCCUUCAUAUGUGUUGAGGGCAUUGGGGGUGGAUGAGGACAU